This 441-nucleotide ribosomal RNA is filed under the name uncultured bacterium. Its description in RNAcentral is "partial 16S ribosomal RNA". It matches the Rfam family "Bacterial small subunit ribosomal RNA", at positions 338 to 795 of the family's 1533-position model. The record is from RNAcentral.
CCUACGGGAGGCAGCAGUGGGGAAUAUUGCGCAAUGGGGGCAACACUGACGCAGCAACGCCGCGUGAUUGAAGAAGGCCUUCGGGUUGUAAAGAUCUUUAAUCGGGGACGAAUUUUGACGGUAGCCGAAGAAUAAGCUCUGGCGAACUACGUGCCAGCAGCCGCGGUAAUACGUAGGGAGCAAGCGGUAGCCGGAUUUACUGGGGGGAAAGGGCGCGUAGGCGGGGAUGUAAGCAAGUAGUGAAAUGGUGGGGCUUAACCCUCAAAAUGCUUUUGGUACUGUGUGUCUUGAGUGAUGGAGAGGCAGGCGGAAUUCCCAGUGUAGCGGUGAAAUGCGUAGAUAUUGGGAGGAACACCAGUGGCGAAGGCGGCCUUCUGGACAUUAACUGACGCUGAGGCGCGAAAGCGUGGGGAGCAAACAGGAUUAGAUACCCUUGUAGUC